CGGCCGCGUUGCCAAGGUGACCCGGGCGCGGGAAGGCGGCUCCGGCGCGCGCGGGCCGGGCCGGGCGGCGGCGGCGGCAUCAUGAGCGGCCGGAAGCGCAGCUUCACCUUCGGGGCCUACGGCGGGUAGCGCGCGGCGCGGCGCGGGGCGGGGCGGGGCGCGUGCGCGCGUGUGCGUGUGCACGCGUGGGGGGAGCCCGUGCGGGGUGUGCUCGCGCUUGGGCGGGUGGGCCUGGGCUGUGACUGCUGUGAAGGCUGAGCGUUUGACCUCAGUGCGCGCAUGGCUGUCGUGUUGCAGAGCGCGUGUGUGUGUGUGUGUGUGUGUGUUUCUGUGUGUGUGUGUGUUCCCAUUGCGUGUCCAUGUGCAUGUGUGGGGAGGUGGGUGUAGGGUGGACAUUGCUAUGUUUGUGUCUAAGCACAUGAUAUUGGCGCUUAUGCAUGUGACUGGGGCUGCGGGGCUACUCCACCUGUGUGUGUGCGGGUGUGUGUGCAUGCGUGUGUGCGCAACUGCUCACAUGUAUAGGGUGGACAAGUCCUUCACCUCUCGCCGGAGUGUAUGGAGGAGUGAUGGGCAGAACCAGCACUUCCCUCAGGCGCUAGACCUGUCACGAGUGAACUUAGUUCCCUCCUAUACUCCUUCACUCUACCCUAAGAACACAGAUCUAUUUGAGAUGAUUGAGAAGAUGCAGGGAAGCAGGAUGGAUGAACAACGCUGCUCCUUCCCGCCGCCCCUCAAAACAGAGGAGGACUACAUUCCCUACCCGAGCGUGCACGAGGUCUUGGGGCGAGAAGGACCCUUUCCCCUCAUCCUGCUGCCCCAGUUUGGGGGCUACUGGAUUGAGGGCACCAACCACGAAAUCACCAGCAUCCCCGAGACAGAGCCACUGCAGUCGCCCACGACCAAGGUGAAGCUUGAGUGCAACCCCACAGCCCGCAUCUACCGGAAGCACUUUCUCGGCAAGGAGCAUUUCAAUUACUACUCACUGGACACUGCCCUCGGCCACCUUGUCUUCUCACUCAAGUACGAUGUCAUCGGGGACCAAGAGCACCUGCGGCUGCUGCUCAGGACCAAGUGCCGGACAUACCAUGAUGUCAUCCCCAUCUCCUGCCUCACCGAGUUCCCUAAUGUUGUCCAGAUGGCAAAGUUGGUGUGUGAAGACGUCAAUGUGGAUCGGUUCUAUCCUGUGCUCUACCCCAAGGUAUGGCUGGAUCUGGGCACAGCUCACUGAGGGUGGGUGAGUAACUGGAAGACUGAGCAUUUAUUAAGCACCUUCUGUGUGCCAGAUACUUUCCCCAGGUUGUCUCAUUUAAUCCUCACAAUAACCCUGUGAAGUCCACA
Molecule: small RNA, 1338 nt
Filed under: Pongo abelii (Sumatran orangutan)
Lineage: Eukaryota; Metazoa; Chordata; Mammalia; Primates; Hominidae
Description: processed transcript
Source: RNAcentral